AGCGGCGGAUGGGUGAGUAACACGUGGGGAACCUGCCCCUAAGUCUGGGAUACCAUUUGGAAACAGGUGCUAAUACCGGAUAAUAAAGCAGAUCGCAUGAUCAGCUUUUGAAAGGCGGCGUAAGCCGUCGCUAAGGGAUGGCCCCGCGGUGCAUUAGCUAGUUGGUAAGGUAACGGCUUACCAAGGCGACGAUCCAUAGCCGAGUUGAGAGACUGAUCGGCCACAUUGGGACUGAGACACGGCCCAAACUCCUACGGGAGGCAGCAGUAGGGAAUCUUCCACAAUGGACGCAAGUCUGAUGGAGCAACGCCGCGUGAGUGAAGAAGGUUUUCAGAUCGUAAAGCUCUGUCGUUGGUGAAGAAGGAUAGAGGUAGUAACUGGCCUUUAUUUGACGGUAAUCAACCAGAAAGUCACGGCUAACUACGUGCCAGCAGCCGCGGUAAUACGUAGGUGGCAAGCGUUGUCCGGAUUUAUUGGGCGUAAAGCGAGCGCAGGCGGAAAAAUAAGUCUAAUGUGAAAGCCCUCGGCUUAACCGAGGAACUGCAUCGGAAACUGUUUUUCUUGAGUGCAGAAGAGGAGAGUGGAACUCCAUGUGUAGCGGUGGAAUGCGUAGAUAUAUGGAAGAACACCAGUGGCGAAGGCGGCUCUCUGGUCUGCAACUGACGCUGAGGCUCGAAAGCAUGGGUAGCGAACAGGAUUAGAUACCCUGGUAGUCCAUGCCGUAAACGAUGAGUGCUAAGUGU
RNAcentral lists this ribosomal RNA (743 nucleotides) under uncultured bacterium. RNAcentral describes it as "bacterial SSU rRNA". It matches the Rfam family "Bacterial small subunit ribosomal RNA", at positions 94 to 823 of the family's 1533-position model. The record is from RNAcentral.